This 250-nucleotide ribosomal RNA is filed under the name uncultured prokaryote. RNAcentral's name for it is "partial 16S ribosomal RNA". It matches the Rfam family "Bacterial small subunit ribosomal RNA", at positions 524 to 773 of the family's 1533-position model. The record is from RNAcentral.
UACGGAGGGUGCGAGCGUUAAUCGGAAUAACUGGGCGUAAAGGGCAUGCAGGCGGACUUUUAAGUGAGAUGUGAAAGCCCCGGGCUUAACCUGGGAAUUGCAUUUCAGACUGGGGGUCUAGAGUACUUUAGGGAGGGGUAGAAUUCCACGUGUAGCGGUGAAAUGCGUAGAGAUGUGGAGGAAUACCGAAGGCGAAGGCAGCCCCUUGGGAAGAUACUGACGCUCAUAUGCGAAAGCGUGGGGAGCAAAC